This 253-nucleotide ribosomal RNA is filed under the name uncultured bacterium. RNAcentral's name for it is "partial 16S ribosomal RNA". It matches the Rfam family "Bacterial small subunit ribosomal RNA", at positions 524 to 776 of the family's 1533-position model. The record is from RNAcentral.
UACGAAGGGGACUAGCGUUGUUCGGAAUUACUAGGCGUAAAGCGCACGUAGGCGGAUUUGUAAGUCAGGGGUGAAAUCCCGGGGCUCAACCUCGGAACUGCCUUUGAUACUGCAAAUCUCGAGUCCGAUAGAGGUGGGUGGAAUUCCUAGUGUAGAGGUGAAAUUCGUAGAUAUUAGGAAGAACACCGGUGGCGAAGGCGGCCCACUGGAUCGGUACUGACGCUGAGGUGCGAAAGCGUGGGGAGCAAACAGG